RNAcentral lists this long non-coding RNA (1366 nucleotides) under Zostera marina. Its description in RNAcentral is "long non-coding RNA (ZMAR_LNC005820)". Lineage: Eukaryota; Viridiplantae; Streptophyta; Magnoliopsida; Alismatales; Zosteraceae. The record is from RNAcentral.
UGCCGCAGAAUAUAUAAAGAAAGAGAUCGAUCGGAAUAUCGGAUCAUCGACUUCAUCGGAACUUUUUCUUUCUUUUUUUGCUGCUGUAAUUGUGACUUGACAUAAUGAGCAAUAAGAAGACCGGUAAAUGAACAGUUUGUGUAAUCUGCUAAUCUCUAUUGAUUGACGAUUGUUGUGGCCUGUGUAAUCAGAAAUUGGAUCUAAAAAUCUUAUAAAAUCUCGCUUUCUUACCUAAGACCAAGAGAGAUAAUACAAGUAUGGAUUCAGGUUGAGAAAUACCAAAGAAAGUUGGUGGGUUUGUCCUCACAUCAAUCAAAUCAUUUAUUUUGCUGUGGAAUUAAAACUGGAUACAGAUUAUCUCUGUAUGAAAAAUUGAAAAUCGAAACACAGAGAUUUCAAUAAUUAUCAUAUAAUUAAUAACUAGUUUUGACAUGAAAUAUGACUAUUAUUUCGAUUAUGUAAUGUGUAAUAUGAAUAUCCAAUCCUAUCUACCCAUCUGUAAGUCCAUUUAAGGAACCAACAACUAGAUCAUCGACAGCUCGCUCUUCACUGGCCCAAUGCUCACUGCCCCCAAUCCUAAUUCCUACACAUGUGCCAGUUGGAAUUCCGAACUUCUGGUCCACGGUUUGUGUCUUCGAUCUAACGGUGGACCCUUGUCGGUUAUGAUGGACAUGGUUGGGGAAUACGAUGAUGGUGAUCCCAAUGCGGAGUGGAGACCGACGCAAUCCCCAACCAUUCUAUCUUCUCAUUUUUCUUUGCUUUAUCUUUCUCACCAUCGUGUCAUUUUGGCAUCUUCUUUCUUUCAAUUCAUGCAUGCUGGCUGGCUUCAUCUUUGAUUCGAUUUUUCGACAUUUUCAUUCCUAGCUAAGCAGCCUAAGUAGGCUUCUUGUCCCUACCUAUAUUCAUGCCAUAACAUAUGAUAUACCCAGUUAUCAACUGCCUACUGGGUACAUUAAUCUAUGUAGCUACCUGAAUGGCCUAUGUUUAGGAAAUGGGCCGGGUUUUCAAAAAUUGACUCUGAGCCUGAAUUUAUGUAGCAACCUGAAUUUUCUCGAAAUUGGGCAGUACUACACUACCACUCAUAUAGGAAUGUCUCUGAGUCUUGUGCUGAUGAAGUCGUCGAUUGGAGUAUGACUUCAUGUCCAAGUACCAAGUGGAUGUUUGAAGUUUCUGUAGUUACGAGUUACAACUUACCAGUUAGAUUCUAUAUUCAUGUUUCUCCAUAGCCGAUGCUGCUCCUUCGUGAUUCGUAAUUCGUGAUCUUGCAGAUGGUGUAUACUGUUGAUAACAAGAUUGGCACGUACCAUGGAUGUUUGGUGUUACUGUGUAAAUGAUGUGAUUUGCAUAAUUUGAGUUUGGAAGUUGG